GCCGGGCACAGUGGUGCAUACUCGUAAUCCCAGCAGCUUGGGAGGCUGAGACAGGAGGAUCACAAGUUCAAACCCAGCCUCAGCAAAAAGCAAAGCUCUAAGCAACUCAGUGAGACUCUGUCUCUA
RNAcentral lists this small RNA (126 nucleotides) under Marmota monax (woodchuck). The record is from RNAcentral. Lineage: Eukaryota; Metazoa; Chordata; Mammalia; Rodentia; Sciuridae.